Panicum virgatum (switchgrass) is the source of this 1057-nucleotide long non-coding RNA. RefSeq lists it as uncharacterized. Lineage: Eukaryota; Viridiplantae; Streptophyta; Magnoliopsida; Poales; Poaceae. The record is from RefSeq and is a predicted model, not a curated record. The transcript is spliced from 5 exons.
UCCUGACCCUUUUCUUUUUCUUCGUUCUCUUUCGGCGAGCCCUUGGAUUUCCCGGCUCUUUAUCGCUCUGUGGUCUUGCUUUCCAUUUCAAUGCUCUACCUGUUAGCCUCCUCCCUCGCCGUCCUUGUCGUUUCCCAUUUUUGUUUUGUUUGCUUCCUUUUUUUUCUCUUGAUGAUCUUAGUGGCGUUCCUGCACUCAUUUUCUUGGACUGCAUUUUUCUUCCUAUUAUGGAUGAUAGGCUCAUGGUUUUUUCUGAAUUUUUUUUGCCCAGGAAUCUGCCGCCUUCUUUCUACUGCGCUCUUGGGGGUUCGAGGGCUUCUGGCCCUUCCUGUUGCUGUUUACUUCAGCCCAAUUUCCUCAGCAAUCAGGAUCUCAGAGCCAGAGUCUUGACCCUGCCCAAAAGACUACAGUGAUCACUGCAUCAAGUGGUUCUGAAUGCGCACUAUCUGAAUCCAGCAAGCUUCCUGAAACAUCUGAAAGCAAAUUGCCUUCAACUCCACCCUCACUUGUGGGAUUACAGAAAGCACAUACUCCCGACCCAAAGACCACAAGGACCAAGCGUUCAGCUGAACACACAUCUGGAAGCCACCAAGAAAUUGAUCCAAAGGAAACCCGUACAUCAACCAAAAAAAAUUCCAAGAGGCAGCUAGACUUCAUCGAUCCAGAUGAACAACACUAGGUGAUGAUAACCAUGAAAUAGACGAAGACAAAUCAUUUUGCAAAUGAACCUGGUAGAAUCGUGCCAGCACAUAGUACUGUCUGGCAUUGCACGAUGACCUCUACUCCUCUCUCUCAUGUAAAUUAAAUACACUGAUGAUGCCUCCCUAUAGACGCAUCACUAUAUGUGCACUAGACGAAAGGCUGUUAUUUUGCCAAUGGAUCUGGGACAACUAUAGUAGGGCAUAAUACUGUCUGCCGCUGCACGACCACCUGCGUAGCUCUGUCUUAUGUAAAUUAAACAACGACAAUGGCUUCUUAGCCGCUCCACUAUGUAACUGAUGACUGAAGUCACUUCCAUAUGUAUUAAGUAAUUAUGCUACUAUCUAUGUGUUUGCCC